AUUGAACGCUGGCGGCAGGCCUAACACAUGCAAGUCGAGCGGAUGAAGGGAGCUUGCUCCUGGAUUCAGCGGCGGACGGGUGAGUAAUGCCUAGGAAUCUGCCUGGUAGUGGGGGAUAACGUCCGGAAACGGGCGCUAAUACCGCAUACGUCCUGAGGGAGAAAGUGGGGGAUCUUCGGACCUCACGCUAUCAGAUGAGCCUAGGUCGGAUUAGCUAGUUGGUGGGGUAAAGGCCUACCAAGGCGACGAUCCGUAACUGGUCUGAGAGGAUGAUCAGUCACACUGGAACUGAGACACGGUCCAGACUCCUACGAGAGGCAGCAGUGGGGAAUAUUGGACAAUGGGCGAAAGCCUGAUCCAGCCAUGCCGCGUGUGUGAAGAAGGUCUUCGGAUUGUAAAGCACUUUAAGUUGGGAGGAAGGGCAGUAAGUUAAUACCUUGCUGUUUUGACGUUACCAACAGAAUAAGCACCGGCUAACUUCGU
This 483-nucleotide ribosomal RNA is filed under the name uncultured bacterium. RNAcentral describes it as "partial 16S ribosomal RNA". It matches the Rfam family "Bacterial small subunit ribosomal RNA", at positions 30 to 506 of the family's 1533-position model. The record is from RNAcentral.